CCUCCUUGGAGAUGGUGUUUAGCAUUUCAUCACAUUGAUACACCAUCCAAGGCAUUUUGUGAUGAAAAACAGCAGGAGUUCCCUGUGUGGACUGAAGCUUGUCCAUCUGAUGGUACUGACUGGAAAGGAGAAAGGCUACCGCACCAUCGUCCUCCAGGUAAUCAAGCCAAGAUCAGUCCACAUGCUGAGGGUUGCAACUCCUACACCACUAACAAGAUUUCACUGUGAUUAGCUGACUGCAGCAAAAUCUGACUAGAGAAAAUGAUGAAUGAAUCUACAAUGUCGUUGCAUGGACAAGCAAUCUUAGAAUACAAGCACCUCAACUUAUAAACCACUGGUAAUUGAAGCUGGUAGAGCCCUGUGACAUCUCUCGUAAACAAGCUAGGUUAUGGACAAGGAUCACGUCAACCAAGUUCAAAUGUCAAGAACACGAUAGGGCCCCUUCCAUUCUGACUGGAAAAGACAUCUAUCAUCUAUAGUUAUGUGCAUUAUCAAGGGUAUCCACAGUUUCUUUGCUGGGAUAAAUGGAAAGCAGUGGAAUUCAACUAUGGUGUGACAGCAUUUUCUGUCCUUGUAUAACUGUGUAGUUUGUGCUCUGUAGUAUGUGAAUUGAAAAUUUGUAAAAAUCUGGUUAUUGGAGUAAAGAUUGUACAAUGGAAUAUCCACACCUGGUAUUCUAGUUACUGUAGCUUAGCUAAUGUGUAGUGACCUUUUUGUUUUCACUUUAAAAAACCUAUGCGAUUUGCCGCACGAAAGGUCCUUCCAGAGAUUGUAGGACUGGGUCCAUUGAAUGUAACAAAAAUAAUCGAUGCCUAUUUACAAGUGAAAUGAAGAGUCUGCAUUUUGGUGCAACUCCAUAUAACUGUCAGGUGAUUUCGCUCUGAACUUGUGACACUCAGAUAGGUCUUAAAUAAUCAUUAUCUCACCCCUCUGGGAAAAAUUUGCAGCCAGAUUGCACCAUUGCCUGUUACCGCCUGAGAGAUGGCGAUGUCAGGGGCGCAUGACGGUGGUUAAACCUAUUGCGAAUGGGCAGCACAAUUGGGUGUAGGAUAUUCCGAAACCAUUGCACACUCCUGAAUCUGCGGUGGGUUGGUACCCCACGCUACGUAAGGAGUAGGUUUCUGGGUAAGACUUGGUCCACGUGAAUAGGUCGUGCCUUAAAAAUGAUGAGAAGUUGCGAAUUGACGCCCUGUGAAGUGUCCUUCGACCAGCUAGUGCUAAUCCGGUCACUGUCUCCAGGUCACCAUGCCUCGGUCAAUGAGCGGGCGAAGCACCCAAUGGCUCCGUCAGGAGUACAUCGUCAACUUCAGCCCGUAGUCAAACCGGUAUGCGCACAAAUAUCUUAGUUGAGAGUGGGGGACAUCAGUAAAGUGCUUCUCAUCGGGGUAAUACAGUACCACUGUAUACAAUGACCCCAUUUUUUGUUGGAUUCAUUUCCACUGAGGAGUGGUCGAUAAUGAGAAUUUCAGGCCAGUCUGAUUAUCACCAGUACAGAGGGCAAUUACCUGAUAGUUACGUGGCAUUACGCCAACUCUUUCUCAUCCUUUGUAAAUUAGUGUUGUUUGUUGCAUGUCACAUUCAAUGGCUCAUUUGAGGAUAGUUUCUGUGAUUCUACUUUAUCAUGAGCAGACCCAUUUAGGCCUGUUACUUUGUACUUUGCGCUCUGUAGUACUAGUAUGUGAUUUGAAAAGAUUGGAGUAAAGAUUGUACAAUGGAACAAGGGUCAUCUUGUUUGCCACUGUAGUUUAAGGAAGUGUUAGUGACCUAUUUGUUUUCAGUUUAAAAAAGACAUCAUGAUCAACUGCAUUGCUAUUAAUCCCUCAAAAGAUUUUUGGACCGGCUCAAUUAAAUGUAACAAAAAUAUCCAACACCUGGUAUUCUAGCUACUGUUGCUUAGCUCAGCAUUGUGACCUUUUUUUUUCACUUUUAAAAACCUAUGUGAUUUGCCACACUGAACCCUCCAGACAUUGUUGGACUGGGUCCAUUAAAUGUGACAAAAAUAUCCAACACCUAUUCACAAAUGAAGUGAGGGGUCGGCCUUUUGGUGUAACUCCAUAUUACUAUCUGGUGAUUUCGCUCUGAACUUGUGACACUCUGAUCGGUCUGAAAAUAUCAUUACCGUCCAUCCCUCAGUUUGCAGCCCGAUUGACCCGAUGACGGAGAAAUGGCGAUGUUAAAGGGGCAUGACGGCGGUCAUGCCCCUUUGAGGCCUACA
Long non-coding RNA from Lineus longissimus, 2215 nucleotides. RefSeq lists it as uncharacterized. The transcript is spliced from 3 exons. The record is from RefSeq and is a predicted model, not a curated record. Lineage: Eukaryota; Metazoa; Nemertea; Pilidiophora; Heteronemertea; Lineidae.